This 251-nucleotide ribosomal RNA is filed under the name uncultured prokaryote. RNAcentral describes it as "partial 16S ribosomal RNA". It matches the Rfam family "Bacterial small subunit ribosomal RNA", at positions 525 to 775 of the family's 1533-position model. The record is from RNAcentral.
ACGUAGGGUGCGAGCGUUAAUCGGAAUUACUGGGCGUAAAGCGUGCGCAGGCGGCUCUAUAAGACAGAUGUGAAAUCCCCGGGCUUAACCUGGGAACUGCGUUUGUGACUGUAGGGCUUGAGUGCGGCAGAGGGGGGUGGAAUUCCACGUGUAGCAGUGAAAUGCGUAGAGAUGUGGAGGAACACCGAUGGCGAAGGCAGCCCCCUGGGUCGACACUGACGCUCAUGCACGAAAGCGUGGGGAGCAAACAG